RNAcentral lists this ribosomal RNA (468 nucleotides) under uncultured bacterium. RNAcentral describes it as "partial 16S ribosomal RNA". It matches the Rfam family "Bacterial small subunit ribosomal RNA", at positions 28 to 507 of the family's 1533-position model. The record is from RNAcentral.
GACGAACGCUGGCGGCGUGCUUAACACAUGCAAGUCGAACGGAAAGGCCCUGCUUUUGUUGGGUGCUCGAGUGGCGAACGGGUGAGUAACACGUGAUUAACCUGCCCUUGCCUUUGGGGUAACUUCAGGAAACUGGGGCUAAUACCGGCUAGGAGCUCCUGCUGUUUGGUGUGGGUUGGUAAGUUUCGGCGGUUGGGGAUUGACUCGCGGCUUAUCAGCUGGUUGGUGAGGUAGUGGCUUACCAAGGUUUUGACGGGUAGCCGGCCUGAGAGGGUGACCGGCCACAUUGGGACUGAGAUAGGGCCCAGACGCCUACGGGAGGCAGCAGUGGGGAAUAUUGCACGAUGGGCGGAAGCCGGAUGCAGCAACGCCGCGUGCGGGAUGACGGCCUUCGGGUUGUAAACCGCUUGCGCCUGUGACGAAGCGUGAGUGACGGUAAUGGGUAAAGAAGCACCGGCUAACUACGUG